UUGUUAGUUGCCAUCAUUCAGUUGGGCACUCUAGCGAGACUGCCGGUAAUAAACCGGAGGAAGUGGGAUGACGUCAAUCAUCAUGCCCCUUAUGACCUGGGCUACACACGUGCUACAAUGGUUGGUACAACGAGUUGCGAGUCGGUGACGGCGAGCUAAUCUCUUAAAGCCAAUCUCAGUUCGGAUUGUAGGCUGCAACUCGCCUACAUGAAGUCGGAAUCGCUAGUAAUCGCGGAUCAGCACGCCGCGGUCGAAUACGUUCCCGGGCCUU
Molecule: ribosomal RNA, 271 nt
Filed under: uncultured Streptococcus sp.
Lineage: Bacteria; Bacillati; Bacillota; Bacilli; Lactobacillales; Streptococcaceae
Description: partial 16S ribosomal RNA
Rfam family: Bacterial small subunit ribosomal RNA
Source: RNAcentral